UUCCACAAAAGGGAAAAAGUCAUGAGAUUGCCAUAUUAACUCCGACGUGGGGAUGGUAACGGGGUAAAACUCAUGCGUUCUUCUCCUCGUCUGGUUUUGGAGCGGUUUGCUGUGAUUCAGUUUGAUUGCAUAUUUUUCGUUCCCUAUUCCAUCGAUCAAAAGCCAAGCACAGUGAGAAGGAGAAACAAAUCCCACUAUCUCCAAACAACCUCAUAUUUAUUUGGUAUUGAACGGCCAAAUCGAUUUCCACUGCUGGGGAUUUCUUUCUUCCAGUUAUCGGCUGCAUCAUCGAGUGAGCAGCUCAUUUUUGUGCGCAAAGGGAAAAUGGUCCACUUGUUUCUGUCUCAAAGGACUUGUGAUGAUGAUAAUGGCGACAUUGACAUCAACGCCGGCGCCGCAAGCGGGAUGGGGUUCACUUCUUGAAGAGCUGGGUUCCCUUCUACGGCAAGUAAUUGUCGCCAACGGGCGGGCGGAGUCUCGUUUGUGGCUGUGCAACACCAUUGCAAGCAUAAAUUCGAUUGGGCCAAGAGAGCAGUGGGUGCUAUUCAGGAAACUAUUGGAAUCAAGCUCACAGAGGCGUCGAAUUGCAGCCCAAGUUUUGCAGUUGGUCUUCGAGAAGAAGCCAAUUGCUUGCGAAGAAAUGUUACAUGCUGGAGAAGUUUUUUAGUGGUAAUCCAGGGCGCAUUCUGCAGUGGUUUGGAAACUUUGCUACUUCUGGCAAGUAUGAGCACCAGAAGGGAGCUUGGGCAAUAUCCCAAUGUGCUUUCAUAAACAGAGACGUUUGCUGGAGGAGCUCAGUGGAACGAGAAACAUGGUCAAUCACUAGCGAUGGUUGCUACGAAGCCACACUAUUUCCUUGAUUUGGAUGUGUUGAGGACAGUGGAGAAUUUUCUGGAGAACGUCCCUGAUUUUUGGGUAUCAAAUGAACUUGCAGAGACAUUAAAGGAUGGGAAAUAUUUCGUAUUGAUAUGGAGUUCUUCACUGAUCAGUUUACCCAUUUAAUGUAUGAAGAGAAUGCAGCAGAUGUAUGGGCUUCCAUUGAUGAAUUUCUAAAUGACGAGCAGUUCUCAAAUCUCUGCAACCUUCUCUUGAUUUUACUUAAUGAAAGUGAGCUGUCUGAGUUUAUGAUUCACAUACACAAAGUUUGUUCAAAUUUGCACUCUAAAGUUUCUUGGCAAACUGAAGGGGCCAUUCUCACCAUCCUUUUGGCUUGAAAUUUUACUUUUAACAAGUUCACACAAGCUAGCCAUUGAUGAAUUGGUUCUAUCAAAUGCAGUUAUUAAUCACGGUCGCCAGUUGCUAGGUCUUGUACAUAUUGAUGAACACAUUGAGGAAAAAGAUAAGACCAGUGAAAUCCUUUCAAAAAUAAAUAGGAUUCGGGAUGAAGCCCAACACUGGUCACUGAUGUAGGAAUGUACAAAAAUAAACAGAUUGGCAGCAAUGAAAUUACUUGGGCUUGAAUCUUGGGUGGUGCAUAGGCAUUUGGCUUUGCAAUGUAAAUCUUCAGAUUCAUGGGAAUCAUUCUUCCUUGCAAAUGGGAUUGGCUUUUGCAAGUCUGCCACAUAUUCGCUAGUUGGUCGUGAUGGCUCUUCACAUAAUGGUGGAAGUAGGACAGGUGAUAGCAGUUCAGCCAGAGUUCCUCGAAACAUAAAAAAAAGAGACAUAGGAAAAAGAGAAAAAAGUACCGUGCUGACUACGACCAUAGUUCCAGUGAUGAAUUGACAGAAAUAGCAAGUUCAACAAGAUGGGAAGGAUUAGGGUCAGAUGGAUGUUGGUUGGUCUCAACUGACAAUUAUUCCUCUCCCUGGAGCAGUGAGGUAGAAGACUCCAGCGGUCUUGGCUUCCAAAUUCCCUGUAUGAAACAUCCAGGGUGCCGUGGCAUUCCUUUUUGGAGCAUAUGCGCAGACCAAAGACAAUCAUUAUAGUGGUGGUGUUU
Nymphaea colorata (pocket water lily) is the source of this 1936-nucleotide long non-coding RNA. RefSeq lists it as uncharacterized. The transcript has 3 exons. The record is from RefSeq and is a predicted model, not a curated record. Lineage: Eukaryota; Viridiplantae; Streptophyta; Magnoliopsida; Nymphaeales; Nymphaeaceae.